Long non-coding RNA from Xiphophorus couchianus (Monterrey platyfish), 359 nucleotides. RefSeq lists it as uncharacterized. The transcript has 3 exons. The record is from RefSeq and is a predicted model, not a curated record. NCBI's taxonomy places the organism in Eukaryota, Metazoa, Chordata, Actinopteri, Cyprinodontiformes, Poeciliidae.
GUAUAAUGUAACACAGAUAAUCUAAAUGUAGGAGCCAUAUAUACAUUUUUGGAACUUAAUACAAAAUGUUAUUUUGUGUUUACGUGAGUUUAAUUUUUUACUCUGCUAUUUGAAAAGGAUAAGCAUCUGUAAUUGUAUUGUGCUUACAUGGUGCCUUUUGAUUGGUUAGUGACUAAUUCGUUUAUGAAAGAUGAAAGUACUUGCUCAUUGUAGAAGUCUGGCACCUUGAGAGUAACACAGUCUUUUGACCGUCACUUUCUAUUUGUUUUGAAUCUGUUUGUUAUUUUUAUUUUCUUUUAAGUUCAGUAAAGACUUAAAGAAGACCGUCGGAUUCAAGACCUCUUUUUUUUGGAAGAAAU